AUUAAUUAACUCCACCAGCUAGGUAGUGUUAUUUGAUUGAUGAUAAGGUUAUCAAUAUAAAUCAGAUGGUUGGAGAGAUGUGAUAUUAUGUCCUAUACGUAAAUUAGUGCAAUGAGGGCCCUGUCCUCACACAGAUUUGCUGUCAAUAUAUGGACACACAUAUUGUACUGAAAUAUUUUUAACAUUAUUUUAUUUACGCAAAUGAAUUUCAUGUUGACAUGUAAGGACUUUGUCUUUGUACAAGACAAAUAUUUUGUUAACAAUCAAGAGAAUACAGCUUUGUUCAGUAGUGGCAACAGUGGAGCUUACAACAUAGCCUUGUUCACCAGUAAAGGAGGUCCUAAUUCAAUGAACAACUUUAGGACAAGAAAGAACACUUUGUACUGUGACUAUUGUAAUUUCAAAGGCCAAACCAGAGAGACUUGCUACAAGUUAAAUGGUUAUCCACCACACUUCAAGUCAAAGAAGGAGUACAACUCUGCAGGGAACUUUGCAAAAGACAGUCAAAUUGUGCAUACUGGGAGCACAGUUAAGGCUUCAAACCUUGGGCCAACAGGAGGAAGCUAAUUUUGCAAAAAGCACCUCAACUACUGGAGAGGCAUCUUAUAGUCAGAAUUAGAGUAACCCAGUGAGAGUGCCUCACUUCACUCCAGAACAAUACUCACAGAUUCUGCAGCUCCUAGGAAAGGGAAGUGAAAGUAAUGAAGCAGCUAUGGCAGCAGGAUCUAUUCAGUGGCAAGUUGAAGGGGACUGGUAAGGAAGAUAGUGGACUAAUUGUGCUCACUUCUAAUACUAGACUGCAGUCCAUGGACAGCUCAAGAAAGGAUACUUCAACAUCACUUGUUGUAAAUACAAAAGGAGAAGGAUGGUAUAAUAAAUGUAGCCUUGUGGCAUAAGAGAUUAGGCCAUGUGCCAAUUGAUGUUCUAAAGAAAUUACUUGUGUUUCAGACUAUUGAUAGUGCAAAUUCUGAUAAACAUUGUACAAUAUGCCCUUUGGCUAAACAAACAAGGCUACCAUUUCCUUUGAGUACUACUAUUUCUACUAGUUGCUUUCA
This is a long non-coding RNA of Nicotiana attenuata, 1055 nucleotides long. RefSeq lists it as uncharacterized. The record is from RefSeq and is a predicted model, not a curated record. NCBI's taxonomy places the organism in Eukaryota, Viridiplantae, Streptophyta, Magnoliopsida, Solanales, Solanaceae. The transcript has 2 exons.